GCUCUCUUUUCACUAACCCAGAACAACUCGCUAACACGAACACUGAGAAAUGAUGUAAGUGAAUGUUCUGUGUUGGUGGAGAUGAUGAGU
Molecule: microRNA precursor, 90 nt
Filed under: Caenorhabditis japonica
Lineage: Eukaryota; Metazoa; Nematoda; Chromadorea; Rhabditida; Rhabditidae
Description: pre miRNA CJA48925
Source: RNAcentral